GGACUGUGGCUCAAUGGUAGAGUACCUGCCUAGUACAUGUGAGUCACUGGGUUCGAUCCUCAGCACCA
Molecule: transfer RNA, 68 nt
Filed under: Marmota monax (woodchuck)
Lineage: Eukaryota; Metazoa; Chordata; Mammalia; Rodentia; Sciuridae
Description: tRNA.Thr
Source: RNAcentral